CGGCAAGACCGCACCUGCUCGCGAGUGUGAGCUUGUAGCCUCUGGCUGAGCUCCGCGCUUCGCGGCCCCAUCCCGCCUGAGUCCUGGGCUGGGAGAGGCGAGGGUCCCGGAUGCCUUGCCGCUGCUUAUGCCUGCUAGGGAAAGAGCCCAAAUGUCCAUAGGAGCCUAUAACUGGUGCAGGAUUAUUCAGCAUGGAACAUGGAAAGUCGUCACACCAUUUCCAAAGGAGGAAUGAAGCUGCACAAUGGGGAUGAUGAGGCCAAACAUAAGCUUGGCCCACUCCAUAGGCUGGCACUUGAACCUAAAGACUAAGCCUGACCUGCACCCUAACAUGCACCCUCAACUCAGCUCUCUGAGACCUCUGAGCUGCUGCAAUUUCAGCACCUGGCACCUCUUGGGACCUAACUGUAACCCUACCCAGGGCUCUGGACUUAAGGCAGCCCACCAUUGAGGUCUGAGGAAAGAAUGGAUUUGGGGCCAAAAACCAGUGUGUUUUUCAGCAUGGACGCCCGAAUUUCUCCAUGACAUUUCCAUGGCCAGGAUGGAGGUGCAUGAGGGGAAUCUGAGCUGCAACCUAACCCUCUCCCACACAGUCUUCUGGCUCCUGAACCCAAACUCUAAGCCUGAAUCGCUGCCUACCAUGCACCCUCCACCCAACCCUCCAGGGAGAUCACUGCACUGCCAGUGACUCUGCCCCUGACACCUCUGGGGAUCUAACCCUAACCCUAGCUCAGGCUCUUUCUCGAAGGGGGCCCACAUCCUAUGACAGGGGAAAAAUCUUUGGGACCUAUGAGUGGUGCACAAUUAUUCAGCAAGGAACCCAGGAGUCGGCCAUGACAUUUCCGGGGUAAGAAUGGAGCUGCUGAAGGGGAUCCAAGACCAAAAUUGAAGCCUGGAACAUACCAGCCACCCCCUCCCCACACAUCCUAAGGGUGUCCUACACCCUAACAGGCGCCCUCAACUCAGGCCUCCAGGGACAUCACUGAACUGGUGUUACUUCAUGCCCUGGCACCUCCAGGGACCUAACCCUAAUCCUAGCCCAGGCCUUUCCUCACAUGGCCCACCUGCUAGGUCUGAGGAAAGAACACAUCUGGGGCCCAUGACUGGCACAGGAUUAAUCCGCAAGGAACCCAGACACGAUAACAUUUCCAAGGCAGGGAUGGAAGCCUGGCCCACACGAUUGGCUGGCCCAAUAAACCAAAGCCCAAGCCUGACCCACA
Long non-coding RNA from Felis catus (domestic cat), 1220 nucleotides. RefSeq lists it as uncharacterized. The transcript has 2 exons. Lineage: Eukaryota; Metazoa; Chordata; Mammalia; Carnivora; Felidae. The record is from RefSeq and is a predicted model, not a curated record.